RNA transcript from Xyrauchen texanus (razorback sucker), 1613 nucleotides. It is a transcript of the gene named MKI67 FHA domain-interacting nucleolar phosphoprotein-like, with no coding region annotated. The transcript has 7 exons. NCBI's taxonomy places the organism in Eukaryota, Metazoa, Chordata, Actinopteri, Cypriniformes, Catostomidae. The record is from RefSeq and is a predicted model, not a curated record.
AGCGCAACGUGGUUUCAGGAGAGGUAGUACGAGACAAGGUCCAAAACGUAUAUAUAUGUAUUUAUUGUACUAAUUAUAUAUUUUAACAUGACCGAGGGCAAAACAUUAGAGAAGCCGGCAAAAAACCUUCUUGCUCUGAAUCCAAAAGAGGAUGCAGAAUUUCAGAAAAAGGUGCAGCAAGUGAAGAAACGUCCGAAAACGGCACAGUCUCUGACACCUGGAGUUAUCUAUGUUGGUCAUCUUCCUCGAGGAUUGUUGGAGCUUCAGUUGAGAGGUUACUUUCAGCAGUUUGGCAAAGUUUUAAGACUGAGAAUUUCCAGGAGUAAAAAGACUGGAGGGAGCAAAGGCUAUGGAUUUGUGGAAUUUGAAUGUGAUGAGGUGGCAAAGAUUGUGGCUGAGACCAUGGACAACUACCUUAUGGGAGAAAGGCUCAUAAAAUGUCAUGUGAUGCCACCUGAGAAGGUCCAUAAAAGGCUCUUUGAUGGCUCCCAGAGGGGCUUUAAAAGGCCAAAGCAGCCUGCAGUGGCUCGUUAUAACAAAGAACAUACACCUGAAGAUGUAAAGAAAAUUACAGCAAAACUUUUAAGCAAAGAGGCUAAGCUACGCAAAAGACUGGCAGCAAAGGGCAUAGACUACGAUUUUCCUGGAUUUGCAAUGCAAUUUCCUGCAAAAAAGGCCCAAUUACAAGCAGAUCUUUCCAUGUGUAGCGAGGAUGCCACUCCUGUGUGCACCCCAUCAAUGCUAGAGAGAAGGAAAUCCAUCAGAGUUGAAGAGGAGGAGGAGGAGGAGGAUGAUGACGACAAAGAGAUCAUUAUCAAAGCCAAAUCGAUCCCUGAAAACAGUGAGGAUGUUGAAGACACGGACGAAGAUGAUGGUGAGGAAGAGAAUGACCAGGAGGAACAAAUGGCUUAAAAGGGAAAUCCUACAGAGCUGAGCUAUCUUCUGAAAAUCUAUGUGUGUGUUCUGCUAAAGAAAGAAAGUCAUACAUUUUGGGAUGUCACUCCUGAAUGAAAUCCAUCAGAGUUGAAGAGGAUGAUGCGACGAAGAGAUCAUUAUCAAAGCCAAAUCAAUCCCUGAAAACUGUGAGGAUGUUGAAGACACGGAAGAAGAUGAUGGUGAGGAAGAGAAUGAGCAGGAGGAACAAAUGGCUUAAAAGGGAAAUCUAAUAUAAAAUAAAGACUUUAAUCCCUGUUUUAAGAGGGACACUGGAUUCACUGUUUUCAGAGCCAUUUCUUUGUGACUACUCCUCAGUCCUCCACUACAGCCUGGAGAAGAGAGGAACACCGUGUCCUGAUUGUCAUAUUUUUAUAAUUGGGGAAAACUGCCUAAAUGUUAAUGUAAUGUGUUGAUUUGAGGUUUGUUUUAUACAGAUCAUAAAUUGGUUGCAUUUAAUGUGCACUUUUUAGUCUCCCAGAGGGAGAGUAAAAUCUUAUUGACUGUCUAAUACACAUAGUAUGUGUGUAAGGCUGAUUUGAAAGUAUAAGUCUGGAGCAGAGAGCUGAAAAUGACUAUAAAUAUGCUGUAUUUGACAAUAUUUGCAAUGUCUGUAUGUGGUAUUCAGUCAAUCUUUUUCUGACAUAGUGAAAUGUUAUUAAACUUUUUGCUUGAUGAAA